UACGUAGGUGGCAAGCGUUGUCCGGAUUUAUUGGGUUAAAGGGUGCGUAGGCGGCCCUGUAAGUCAGUGCUGAAAUACCCCGGCUUAACCGGGGGGUGGCAUUGAUACUGCAGGCUUGAGUACAGAUGAGGUAGGCGGAAUUGACGGUGUAGCGGUGAAAUGCAUAGAUAUCGUCAAGAACACCGAUAGCGAAGGCAGCUUACUGGGCUGUAACUGACGCUGAUGCACGAAAGUGUGGGGAUCAAACAGG
Molecule: ribosomal RNA, 250 nt
Filed under: uncultured bacterium
Lineage: Bacteria
Description: partial 16S ribosomal RNA
Rfam family: Bacterial small subunit ribosomal RNA
Source: RNAcentral